GUAUGAUUGGGACAUUUGGAGAGGAAUGUUCUAAACAAUGUCACUGCGCUGACAACAGAAUAUGUGACAGAUUAACCGGCCAGUGCUCAACACCUGUUUGUAAAAUAGGAUGGAUUGGAACAGCGUGUGACUCAAAAUGUAAAGUUGAUGCUUUCGGUGAAAAUUGUCGUGAGAAAUGCUACUGUGCUGGCAACACAACUUGCACCAUUGAUUAUGGCAUAUGUCCAGAUAACUGCAGGAAGGGUUACUUUGGAACUCAUUGUAAUAAAGUUUGCCCAGAUGGUGCGUUUGGUUCAAACUGUAAAGAUAAAUGUUUUUGUGAUGGGAACGGAACCUGUUCAAAAGACGACGGAAUAUGUCCAGGAACAUGUGUGACCGGUUACAUGGGCGUUCACUGUAAUAUAC
Molecule: long non-coding RNA, 405 nt
Organism: Mercenaria mercenaria
Lineage: Eukaryota; Metazoa; Mollusca; Bivalvia; Venerida; Veneridae
Exons: 3
Source: RefSeq, a predicted model, not a curated record